AUUCAUGCUUCCAAAGUGACAACAAUUAUUUAAAAGCAACUCUGAAGCUCAAAACUCACAUAGGUAAACUCACAAGUUCUCAAAUUCAGAAAAACAACCUGCUCAGUAUUUUAAUCAAACUUUAUUUCAAGCACCUAUCUCACAAAUCACUAAUAUCACAUCAUGCAUCAUCUCAACUUCAAUCAAGCACUAGAAUCUCUUAAAGCAAAACCC
Molecule: long non-coding RNA, 213 nt
Filed under: Vigna radiata
Lineage: Eukaryota; Viridiplantae; Streptophyta; Magnoliopsida; Fabales; Fabaceae
Description: long non-coding RNA (VRAD_LNC002891)
Source: RNAcentral